Long non-coding RNA from Micropterus salmoides (largemouth bass), 256 nucleotides. RefSeq lists it as uncharacterized. Lineage: Eukaryota; Metazoa; Chordata; Actinopteri; Centrarchiformes; Centrarchidae. The record is from RefSeq and is a predicted model, not a curated record. The transcript is spliced from 3 exons.
CUCCUUGUCUAUUUGUGAUGACACCACAACCGUCCCAGCUGUUCCAGUCCCAACCACUGGUUCACGUCCUUCCUCUGACCCCAGUCCUGCUGUUUCCUUCCUUAAGGUCACGAGCUGGUCAACCCAUCUCCUCUGAAUACCAGUCAUAUGGAUGCUGUUGAGUUGAAAGGGAAGAAGCCAGUACGCCCUGAUUGUUACAGGCACUUUAUCCCUCGUUUCAAGAGCUCCACUCUUGAUCAGGCUGCCGUGGCUUCCC